RNAcentral lists this ribosomal RNA (253 nucleotides) under uncultured bacterium. Its description in RNAcentral is "partial 16S ribosomal RNA". It matches the Rfam family "Bacterial small subunit ribosomal RNA", at positions 524 to 776 of the family's 1533-position model. The record is from RNAcentral.
UACGAAGGGGGCUAGCGUUGCUCGGAAUCACUGGGCGUAAAGCGCACGUAGGCGGACUCUUAAGUCGGUGGUGAAAUCCUGGAGCUCAACUCCAGAACUGCCUUCGAUACUGAGAGUCUCGAGUCCGAGAGAGGUGAGUGGAACUGCGAGUGUAGAGGUGAAAUUCGUAGAUAUUCGCAAGAACACCGGUGGCGAAGGCGGCUCACUGGCUCGGUACUGACGCUGAGGUGCGAAAGCGUGGGGAGCAAACAGG